RNAcentral lists this ribosomal RNA (492 nucleotides) under uncultured bacterium. RNAcentral describes it as "partial 16S ribosomal RNA". It matches the Rfam family "Bacterial small subunit ribosomal RNA", at positions 30 to 507 of the family's 1533-position model. The record is from RNAcentral.
AGUGAACGCUGGCGGUAGGCCUAACACAUGCAAGUCGAACGGCAGCAGAGAAAAGCCUGGUUCUUAGGUGAGGCGAGGGGGGCAGGUGAGAGGAGUACGGGGAACUGUACUUUUUAGGGGGAGAUAACGUGGGAACAGUUACGAAAAUAGCGUAACGGAGCUAGAGGUGAAAGGGGGAGCUCUGCGCAUCUUGCGCGCGGGAAUGAGCCGAUGGCGGAUUAGCGAGGGGGCGGGGUAGACGCCCACCAAGGCGACGAUCCCUAGCUGGUCUGAGAGGAUGACCAGCCACACUGGAACUGAGACACGGUCCAGACUCCUACGGGAGGCAGCAGUGGGGAAUAUUGCACAAUGGGCGCAAGCCUGAUGCAGCCAUGCCGCGUGUAUGAAGAAGGCCUUCGGGUUGUAAAGUACUUUCGUCGGGGAGGAAGGGAGUCAAGUUAAUACCUCUGCUCAUUGACGUUACCCGCAGAAGAAGCACCGGCUAACUCCGUG